This 4793-nucleotide long non-coding RNA is filed under the name Macaca mulatta (Rhesus monkey). RNAcentral describes it as "lncRNA (ENSMMUG00000062142.1)". The record is from RNAcentral. Lineage: Eukaryota; Metazoa; Chordata; Mammalia; Primates; Cercopithecidae.
UGGAAAGAAAUAGGGCUUAGUAAAAAAAAGAAGAAAAAACCCAAAAAACAAACAAAAAAAUAAAAUAAAAUAAAAAUUAAAAAAAAAAAAAAAGAAAGAGGGCUUAGUAUCUUUUGGUCUGUGUAGACUUAGUCCUGAAGAAGUGUGUAGCAAAUGAAGAAAGUGUGAGGUCACAAUUUCUGGAGUCAGGUAGACAUAUAGCGAGAAAUCAACUGUAAAUAGUAAGAAAAGUUUCAUCUAAGCAAGCAGAAUUUCAAGAAUAGAGAAUAAACAACAGGUAAUAUGUGGCAUCCUGUGCUGCAAUUAUGAUGUCAGGAGCACCCUAACAAGCAGAAUGAGUAACAGCAAGGAGUCUAUCAGCAGGCUGUAUAUCCUUGUAUCCAGACAGGCAGCACCAGGGAAGACUUUUAGCAGAUCAAAGCAGGUAGUCUCCCUGAGUAAUUGUGGCACGAUUUCACGGCUCAAUGCAAAUGUGAAGAUGGAAUACGUCUGUUUUUCUCAGGCUGUGAGGAGAAUUAGUGAAACAAAUAUAGUUCUGAGGGCAUCAGGGGAAGAAGGUAUAUCUUUUUAUCGUGUAUUCAUCUUGCUGCUUUUUAUAUUAAUGUUGACUAUGAUAUUUACUAGCUUCCAUUCAUUGCCCUUGUGCCUCCCAAAUUCACAUCGCAUGUUAAUUACAAGAAAAUUACAGGGGUGGGAGAAUUGCUCAAGCUCAGGAGUUUGAGACCAGCCUGGGCAACAUAGUGAGACUCCUAUCUCAUUUUCUUAAAAAAGAAAAAUAUGGUUUUUUUUCCCUAUUCACAUAUGAACAUUUUGAUUCAUAGAAAUGCACCACAAAGAUUGGUCUAGGGAGGAAGAGGAACCCUGGAAAUAGGAUAAAAAUUCUAUGAAGUGAGAGCUGUCUUGGAGGGGUUGCAGAAUAUAAUGCUGGCAACUGCCAUUGAAAAGAUUUGGAUGCCUUUGUCCCUGAGUAGAAUUGUCAAGAAUUUGGCAAUGUGAGUCACGGGGAAAUGCAGGCUUGGCAUACAUGACAAUACAAAUACCCUGCAUGACAUCUACUAUGGAUUUAUAUAUAUGUUUCCUGAGACUUCUGCAAGUAGAUUUUUUUUUCCUUGAAAGAUUCUUGCUCUGUCUCCCAGGUUGGAGUACAGUGGCCCAAUCUCAGCUCGCUGCAACCUCUGCCUCCCAGGCUCAAGCAAUUCUUGUGCCUCAGCCUUCCAAGUAGCUGGGAUUACAGGUGUGUGCCACCAUGCCCGACUAAUUUUUGUAUUUUUAGUAGAGAGGAGGUUUUGCCAUGACGGCCAGGCUCGUCUUAAGUGAUCUGCCUCCCUUGGCCCCCCAGAGUGUUGGGAUUAAAGGCUUGAGCCACCAUGCCGGGCCUGCAAGUAGCUUUUCCUUAAGACUAUGUCUUAGUCCAUUUGUGUUGCUAUAAAGGAAUAGCUGAGGCUUGGUCGUUUAUAAAGAAAAGAGGUUUAUUUGGCUCAUGGUUCUGCAGGCUGUACAGCAAGCAUGGCACCAACAUCUGCUUCUGAUGAGGGCCUCAGGAAGCUUCCACUCAUGGCAGAAGGUGAAGGGGAGCCAUCGUGUGCAGAGAUCACAUGGAGAGGAGGAGACAAGAAGAAGAGUUGGUGCUCUUUUCAACAACCAGUUCUUGCUCUUUUCAGCAACCAGUUCUCACGGGAACUAAAAGUGAGAAGUUGCUCACUCCCAAGACAAUGGCACCAAGCCAUUCAUGAGGGAUCCCCCACUGUGAUCAAACGCCUUUCACCAGUCCCCACCUCCCACAUUGGGGAUCAAAUUUCAACAAGAGACUUGGUAGGGCCAAACAAAACAUAUCCAAACCACAGCAGAGUGCUUGUCUUGUAUUUCAGAUCCUGUUAGAAGUGUGGGUUUUGAGAAGAUAUGGGUGUGAAUUACGUCUGCCGUUAAAUGAAAAUAAUUUUGGAAGAUGUGUGUAAAAUUGUGCAGAUAUAUCUUCCACACAUAUUUUCUUCCCUCAAAACCCCUUCAUCGCAGUGGGACCCUUAUUGCUGCCAGUAGUGAUAGUCUUGAAACCAUGAAUAUUGAUUCUCACCAAAUUUGAACAAUUCUGCUUUACUCUAUCAUAAAAAAACAAAACAAAAACAACAACAACGACAAAAACAGGGCCAGGUGUGGUGGCUCAUGCCUGUAACCCCAGCACUUUGGGAGGCCAAGGCCGGCAGAUCACCUGAGGUCAGGCGUUCGAGACCAGCCGGACCAACGUGGAGAAACCCUGACUCUACUAAAACCACAAAAUUAGCAGAGUGUGGUGGCACACACCUGGAGUCCCAGUUACUCGGGAGGCUGAAGCAGGAGAAUUGCUUGAACCAGGGUGGGCGGAGGUUGUAAUGAGCCUAGAUUGCGCCAUUGUACUCCAGCCUAGGCAACAAGAGCGAAAGUCCGUCUCAAAAAAAAAAAAAAAAAGCAAAAUAGCAAACAAACCUCAAUAUAUGUAUUUUGGAGAUGUUCUUUUUUUUAAAAAAGUUAAUAACCAUUUUGGGUUCAAGGGCACACAUGCAAGUUUGUUACAGGUGAAUUGUGUGACACAGAGGUUUGGUGUAUGGAUUAUUUCAUUGCUCAGGUAAUAAGUGUAGUACCUGAUAGGUAAUUUUUCGAUCCUCACCCUCCUCCCACCCUUCACCCUCAAACAGGAUCCAGUGUCUCAAAACCAAUAUUUUUUUCAGAUCCUUUUGUAUAUUGAAUAUUGUGCUAGGUUGAAUGCUUGUAUUAGGGAAAUACAACAAACACACAUUUAUUUAUUCAAUAAAUAUUGAGUACUUACUAUAUGCCAGGCCCUGUAUUAGGUCAUGGGAUAUGCUGCUGCACUGAAUAAAAACACACACAAAAAAAAAGCAAGCAAAAAUUCCUGCUGCCGUAGGGCUUAUAUACUAGUUGGUUAACUGGGGAUGACAAUAAGCAACAUAAGUAAACUGUAGAUAAAUUAGAUAGUGAUGAGGAGUGUGUGCUGAGGAUGAAACAUAGCACAGGGAAUGAAGGGUAGGAGAAGGAGUUAAAGUUAUAGACAGGGUGGCCCAGAAAGGCCCCGUGAAGAAGGUGAUGUUUGAAUAAAGACCCAAGAAGGUCAGAGAAGGAGCCCUGUGGAUAUCUGGAGGAAGAGGCCUGGGUAGGAAGCAUGCCUGGCAUGUUGGAGGAAAGGCUGGGAGAUGGAAUGGCUUGGAACAGGUGAAUGAGGGGCAGAAUAGCAGGAGAGGAGAUCACAGGGUCACAGAGAACCAGGCCACACAGAGUAGUGUCCAUCUUAGAAAGACUCGGGCUUCCACUCUGAGAUAGAAAGGCAUUAGACGGCUUUUUGUUUGUUUAGGUUUUCUUAUGUAUUUAUUUUUUGUAGAUGAGAGAAAGAUGUGACUUCCAUCUGAACAGCAUCACUUUGACUGUGAGUGGUGAUUAGAGGGAAGGAAGAAGAUGGAAGUGGGAGACCGUUCGGGAGGCUACUGCAGGAAUCCAGAUGAGCCAUGAUGGUGACUUGCUGUAAGUCAGGGUUGGUGACAAGUGAUUAGACUUGGGGUACACUUAAAAAGUGUAUCUGGAAGGACUUUCUGGUGGGUUAGAUUGGAAAGGAGGAACGUCAAAGUCUCUGAAGCUUUCAGACUGAGCAAAGGAUGAGAUGAAGUAGUAGACUGAUGGACAAGCAAGUCUGAGUGGGUUGGUGAGAUCACUGUCAGUCAUGCUGAGCUUGAGGUGCCCAUUAGGCAAGUGGCUGUGUCAAGUAGGCGAGUGGAUAUGGAAGCCUGGACUUGCAGGGAGAGGUCUAGUUUGGAGAUAUCAGUCUGUAAGUGGGCAGCUUAGAGAUAGUAUUUAAAGCAAUAAAACUGGAUGGAAUCAUCUAGGAAUACAUUUGGAUACAAAAGAUAAAAAUUCAAGGGGUACACCCUGGAUCUCUUAUAAAACUAAAGAUCUGGAGAAUUGGAGGAACCAGGAAAGGUGAGUGAGAAGGAGUGAUUUGUGAGGUAGUAGGAAAACCGAGACAGAGAUGUAGCUAAGUGUAGAAAUUCCUGGGGGAGGGGUACGGAAGAGAGAGGGGUGUGUGUGUGGAUACGUGGUAUGUAUGUCAUAUAAACUGUAUGAAAUGCAACUUAUAGAAACUAAAUUGACUGCUGCAUUUAGCAACAUGGAGGUCAUCUGUGACCUUGAGAAGCACAUAUAAAACAAAAAUAAUGGAGCACAGAUUAAGUGACUCAUGUGUGGUAGAGACCCUGCAUGUGAGAACAAUUUAAAAGUCUUGUAAAAUGUACAGAUUCCUGGAUCUUAUUCCCCAGAGAAUUGAACCUGUAACUCUAGUAUGGUGACUGGGAAGCUUUCUUUUGAAAAUGUACCAUUUCACUUAAAUGACCAGCCAGAUUUUGAAUUCCCCACUGUAGGUGCUUCACAAUCAGGAGACAGUAGUAAUCACACUGAGCACAGAAUGUUACCCGAAGCAGAAAAGUUACAGUUGAAUAACCAGAGAAGCUAGGAAACCUUAUCAACGCCUCAUGAGCAAUGCAGCCAAUUGACCAUAAUAAAUGAGGAAAAGGUGCUCAAAUUUCUCCAAGGAGCUCAAACUAGGGAGAGAGGAUUUGGAAAAAGGACGUUGAAGCUGAAUGCUGCAAACUGCAAGUCCAGCUAAGUCUAUGUGGGUAACCAAGAGUCACCGAGGGCAUCCAAACCUGAAUAGGACAUUACGAAGUUAAUAUUUUGUGAAUAUUAUAUAUGGUAGCAUUUUUAAAGAAAAUAAUUUGAAAAAUAAUCCAUUGUGAAGGUUAUCUUUCAUCUCUAAC